Molecule: ribosomal RNA, 685 nt
Filed under: Streptomyces sp. FXJ1.297
Lineage: Bacteria; Bacillati; Actinomycetota; Actinomycetes; Kitasatosporales; Streptomycetaceae
Description: bacterial SSU rRNA
Rfam family: Bacterial small subunit ribosomal RNA
Source: RNAcentral
UGCAGUCGAACGAUGAGCCCUUCGGGGUGGAUUAGUGGCGAACGGGUGAGUAACACGUGGGCAAUCUGCCCUUCACUCUGGGACAAGCCCUGGAAACGGGGUCUAAUACCGGAUAUGACCGUCUUGGGCAUCCUUGACGGUGUAAAGCUCCGGCGGUGAAGGAUGAGCCCGCGGCCUAUCAGCUUGUUGGUGAGGUAAUGGCUCACCAAGGCGACGACGGGUAGCCGGCCUGAGAGGGCGACCGGCCACACUGGGACUGAGACACGGCCCAGACUCCUACGGGAGGCAGCAGUGGGGAAUAUUGCACAAUGGGCGAAAGCCUGAUGCAGCGACGCCGCGUGAGGGAUGACGGCCUUCGGGUUGUAAACCUCUUUCAGCAGGGAAGAAGCGCAAGUGACGGUACCUGCAGAAGAAGCGCCGGCUAACUACGUGCCAGCAGCCGCGGUAAUACGUAGGGCGCAAGCGUUGUCCGGAAUUAUUGGGCGUAAAGAGCUCGUAGGCGGCUUGUCACGUCGGGUGUGAAAGCCCGGGGCUUAACCCCGGGUCUGCAUUCGAUACGGGCUAGCUAGAGUGUGGUAGGGGAGAUCGGAAUUCCUGGUGUAGCGGUGAAAUGCGCAGAUAUCAGGAGGAACACCGGUGGCGAAGGCGGAUCUCUGGGCCAUUACUGACGCUGAGGAGCGAAAGC